GCUCAGAAACUUAAAGGAAUUGACGGGGCCCGCACAAGCGGUGGAGCAUGUGGUUUAAUUCGAUGAUACGCGAGGAACCUUACCUGGGCUCAAAUGUAUGUUUGACGUAUUCUGAAAGGGAUACUUCUUCGGACAAUAUACAAGGUGCUGCAUGGUUGUCGUCAGCUCGUGCCGUGAGGUGUCGGGUUAAGUCCCAUAACGAGCGCAACCCUAUCAUUAGUUGCCAUCAGGUCAAGCUGGGGACUCUAAUGAAACUGCCUACGCAAGUAGUGAGGAAGGUGGGGAUGACGUCAAAUCAGCACGGCCCUUACGUCCAGGGCUACACACGUGCUACAAUGGCCGGUACAAAGGGCAGCUACCUGGUGACAGGAUGCUAAUCUCAAAAGCCGGUCUCAGUUCGGAUCGGAGUCUGCAACCCGACUCCGUGAUGCUGGAAUCGCUAGUAAUCGCGCAUCAGCCAUGGCGCGGUGAAUACGUUCCCGGGCCUU
This 488-nucleotide ribosomal RNA is filed under the name uncultured Sphingobacteriales bacterium. RNAcentral's name for it is "bacterial SSU rRNA". It matches the Rfam family "Bacterial small subunit ribosomal RNA", at positions 891 to 1382 of the family's 1533-position model. The record is from RNAcentral. Lineage: Bacteria; Pseudomonadati; Bacteroidota; Sphingobacteriia; Sphingobacteriales.